RNAcentral lists this ribosomal RNA (221 nucleotides) under uncultured bacterium. Its description in RNAcentral is "partial 16S ribosomal RNA". It matches the Rfam family "Bacterial small subunit ribosomal RNA", at positions 15 to 225 of the family's 1533-position model. The record is from RNAcentral.
GAUCAUGGCUCAGGACGAACGCUGGCGGCAUGCCUAAUACAUGCAAGUCGAACGCUGAAGCACUCUGCUUGCAGAGUGCGGAUGAGUGGCGAACGGGUGAGUAACACGUGGGGAAUCUGCCUAGGAGUGGGGGAUAACAUUCGGAAACGGAUGCUAAUACCGCAUAUCUUCUUAGACCGCAUGGUCUAUGAAUGAAAGACGGCUUUGCUGUCGCUCUUAGA